UCUACAGCACGAUCUAGACCAACAAUCAAAAGGAUAGGGCUUUGGCCCAGAAGCCAGAUUGUCCCGGAUGAUGGACAUCCUGUGGUCAAGGACAACAGAAGACUACACUGGCCUGCACUCUUGGCCUAUGGGAGAAAGCAGGACAGAAUGCCUGGUUCCAGUGUUUGCUCGGUCCUGGGAAGAGAAAGCUGCCAGACGCAGGUGGCUGUCUACUAAUCGGAACGCAAGGAGGAGGGGUGGCGUCCACACUGCAGGCUUCCCAGCUGCCCACCCCACGCAGCACAGCUGAAAGGAC
Long non-coding RNA from Lemur catta (Ring-tailed lemur), 295 nucleotides. RefSeq lists it as uncharacterized. The transcript is spliced from 3 exons. Lineage: Eukaryota; Metazoa; Chordata; Mammalia; Primates; Lemuridae. The record is from RefSeq and is a predicted model, not a curated record.